Molecule: ribosomal RNA, 468 nt
Filed under: uncultured bacterium
Lineage: Bacteria
Description: partial 16S ribosomal RNA
Rfam family: Bacterial small subunit ribosomal RNA
Source: RNAcentral
GGGGGGGGGGGGGGGGGGGGGGGGGGCGGGGGGGGCGGGCGGGGAGGCCCUGCGUUUGGGGGGUGCGCGAGUGGCGAACGGGUGAGUAACACGUGAGUAACCUGCCCUGGACUUGGGGAUAACUUCCGGCAACUGGGGCUAAUACCGGAUAGGAGCUCCUGCUUCAUGGUGGGGGUUGGAAAGUUUCGGCGGUUGGGGAUGGACUCGCGGCCUCGUAGCUUGUUGGUGAGGUAGUGGCUUACCAAGGCUUUGACGGGUAGCCGGCCUGAGAGGGUGACCGGCCACAUUGGGACUGAGAUACGGCCCAGACUCCUACGGGAGGCAGCAGUGGGGAAUAUUGCACAAUGGGCGGAAGCCUGAUGCAGCAACGCCGCGUGCGGGAUGACGGCCUUCGGGUUGUAAACCGCUUUCGCCUGUGACGAAGCGUGAGUGACGGUAAUGGGUAAAGAAGCACCGGCUAACUACGUG